This 440-nucleotide ribosomal RNA is filed under the name uncultured bacterium. RNAcentral describes it as "partial 16S ribosomal RNA". It matches the Rfam family "Bacterial small subunit ribosomal RNA", at positions 338 to 795 of the family's 1533-position model. The record is from RNAcentral.
CCUACGGGCGGCAGCAGUAGGGAAUAUUGCUCAAUGGGGGAAACCCUGAUGCAGCAACGCCGCGUGAGGGAUGAAGGUUUUCGGAUUGUAAACCCCUUUUGUUAGGGAAGAUAAUGACGGUAUCUAACGAAUAAGCUCCGGCUAACUCCGUGCCAGCAGCCGCGGUAAUACGGAGGGUGCAAGCGUUACUCGGAAUCACUGGGCGUAAAGCGCGCGUAGACGGGAUAGCAAGUCAGGUGUGAAAUGCUAUGGCUUAACCAUAGAACUGCAUUGGAAACUGUUAUUCUAGAGUAUGGGAGAGGUAGGUGGAAUUCGUGGUGUAGGGGUAAAAUCCGUAGAGAUCAAGAGGAAUACUCAUUGCGAAGGCGACCUGCUAGAACAUAACUGACGCUGAUGCGCGAAAGCGUGGGGAGCAAACAGGAUUAGAUACCCCAGUAGUC